UACGGGGGGAGCAAGCGUUGUUCGGAUUUACUGGGCGUAAAGGGCGCGUAGGCGGUCAGCACAAGUCAGUUGUGAAAUCUCCGGGCUUAACUCGGAAAGGUCAACUGAUACUGUGCGACUAGAGUGCGGAAGGGGCAACUGGAAUUCUCGGUGUAGCGGUGAAAUGCGUAGAUAUGCGGAGGAACACCGAUGGCGAAGGCAAUCCCCUGGACCUGUACUGACGCUCAUGCACGAAAGCGUGGGGAGCAAACAGG
This 254-nucleotide ribosomal RNA is filed under the name uncultured bacterium. RNAcentral describes it as "partial 16S ribosomal RNA". It matches the Rfam family "Bacterial small subunit ribosomal RNA", at positions 524 to 776 of the family's 1533-position model. The record is from RNAcentral.